This 346-nucleotide ribosomal RNA is filed under the name uncultured bacterium. RNAcentral describes it as "partial 16S ribosomal RNA". It matches the Rfam family "Bacterial small subunit ribosomal RNA", at positions 338 to 682 of the family's 1533-position model. The record is from RNAcentral.
CCUACGGGCGGCAGCAGUGAGGAAUAUUGGUCAAUGGGCGAGAGCCUGAACCAGCCAAGUCGCGUGAGGGAAGAAGGUCCUAUGGAUUGUAAACCUCUGUUGUCGGGGAGCAAAAGAAGCCACGCGUGGGGGUCCGAGAGUACCCGAAGAAAAAGCAUCGGCUAACUCCGUGCCAGCAGCCGCGGUAAUACGGAGGAUGCGAGCGUUAUCCGGAUUUAUUGGGUUUAAAGGGUGCGUAGGCGGGUGAUCAAGUCAGCGGUAAAAUUGUGGCGCUCAACCUCUUCCAGCCGUUGAAACUGGUGUUCUUGAGUGUGCGAGAAGUCUGCGGAAUGCGUGGUGUAGCGGU